This 1445-nucleotide ribosomal RNA is filed under the name uncultured organism. Its description in RNAcentral is "SSU rRNA". It matches the Rfam family "Bacterial small subunit ribosomal RNA". The record is from RNAcentral.
GAUGAACGCUAGCUACAGGCUUAACACAUGCAAGUCGAGGGGCAUCAGGAAGAAAGCUUGCUUUCUUUGCCGGCGACCGGCGCACGGGUGAGUAACACGUAUCCAACCUGCCCUUUACUCGGGGAUAGCCUUUCGAAAGAAAGAUUAAUACCCGAUAGCAUAAUGAUUCCGCAUGGUUUCAUUAUUAAAGGAUUCCGGUAAAGGAUGGGGAUGCGUUCCAUUAGGUUGUUGGUGAGGUAACGGCUCACCAAGCCUUCGAUGGAUAGGGGUUCUGAGAGGAAGGUCCCCCACAUUGGAACUGAGACACGGUCCAAACUCCUACGGGAGGCAGCAGUGAGGAAUAUUGGUCAAUGGGCGCUAGCCUGAACCAGCCAAGUAGCGUGAAGGAUGAAGGCUCUAUGGGUCGUAAACUUCUUUUAUAUAAGAAUAAAGUGCAGUAUGUAUACUGUUUUGUAUGUAUUAUAUGAAUAAGGAUCGGCUAACUCCGUGCCAGCAGCCGCGGUAAUACGGAGGAUCCGAGCGUUAUCCGGAUUUAUUGGGUUUAAAGGGAGCGUAGGUGGACUGGUAAGUCAGUUGUGAAAGUUUGCGGCUCAACCGUAAAAUUGCAGUUGAUACUGUCAGUCUUGAGUACAGUAGAGGUGGGCGGAAUUCGUGGUGUAGCGGUGAAAUGCUUAGAUAUCACGAAGAACUCCGAUUGCGAAGGCAGCUCACUGGACUGCAACUGACACUGAUGCUCGAAAGUGUGGGUAUCAAACAGGAUUAGAUACCCUGGUAGUCCACACAGUAAACGAUGAAUACUCGCUGUUUGCGAUAUACAGUAAGCGGCCAAGCGAAAGCAUUAAGUAUUCCACCUGGGGAGUACGCCGGCAACGGUGAAACUCAAAGGAAUUGACGGGGGCCCGCACAAGCGGAGGAACAUGUGGUUUAAUUCGAUGAUACGCGAGGAACCUUACCCGGGCUUAAAUUGCAGUGGAAUGAUGUGGAAACAUGUCAGUGAGCAAUCACCGCUGUGAAGGUGCUGCAUGGUUGUCGUCAGCUCGUGCCGUGAGGUGUCGGCUUAAGUGCCAUAACGAGCGCAACCCUUAUCUUCAGUUACUAACAGGUCAUGCUGAGGACUCUGGAGAGACUGCCGUCGUAAGAUGUGAGGAAGGUGGGGAUGACGUCAAAUCAGCACGGCCCUUACGUCCGGGGCUACACACGUGUUACAAUGGGGGGUACAGAAGGCAGCUAGCGGGUGACCGUAUGCUAAUCCCAAAAUCCUCUCUCAGUUCGGAUCGAAGUCUGCAACCCGACUUCGUGAAGCUGGAUUCGCUAGUAAUCGCGCAUCAGCCACGGCGCGGUGAAUACGUUCCCGGGCCUUGUACACACCGCCCGUCAAGCCAUGGGAGCCGGGGGUACCUGAAGUACGUAACCGCAAGGAUCGUCCUAGGGUAAAACUGGUGACA